UUCAAUGCUUUCUCACUAGAAUCCACAGAUUGAGAAAGUCUUGGAAUCUUCUUCUCUGUGUCAACUCCCGCAUUAAAGACAUGAUUAAUCUUUUCUGAGGUCUCAUUUGUGCCAAGCUUUGCAAUAGGUGAGUUUUGGGGCUCAUUGCUAUUAGAAAAUGUCUCAUUACAAUCACUUUUGACCCCAAUAGUGACGGUUGCAUUUUCAACUUUAGCAGUGUCGCUUUUGCUAUUAAUGGAUGAGGCUGCAGAUAGAAAACAAUGUUCCAGAUCAGGGUUUGGAUAAACUUCUUUUGACAGGUUCUUAGGUAAGGGUGAACCUGAAGGUUCUGCACUAGGAUCUGAUUUUGUAACUAAGCAUUCUGAAAUCACUGGGCGAUUCAAUCCUUCUUUCUGAAGGAUAUCUUUUAAUGCACCAAAAUUUAGUGGAUCUUUUCUAUUAACAGUAGCAGCAGAGCCUGCAGCCAGUGAUCUAUUCCCAACUGAACCAUUAUCUGCCGGUUCCUUUGACGACUGCUUAAAAACCAAAUUUGCAAUGUCACUUCCAGCAGUUGCUUUCAUAUUUUCUUUCUGAACUACAUCAACAGGCUUUCUUAAAGCCAUAUUUUUUCUAUCACGGACAUAAAAAAGCAUAUAUGCCUUCUGGUCUAGAACAGUCUUCUCACU
RNAcentral lists this unclassified non-coding RNA (665 nucleotides) under Hevea brasiliensis (rubber tree). Lineage: Eukaryota; Viridiplantae; Streptophyta; Magnoliopsida; Malpighiales; Euphorbiaceae. The record is from RNAcentral.